This 16-nucleotide ribosomal RNA is filed under the name Gongronemopsis truncata. RNAcentral describes it as "Marsdenia truncata partial large subunit ribosomal RNA". The record is from RNAcentral. Lineage: Eukaryota; Viridiplantae; Streptophyta; Magnoliopsida; Gentianales; Apocynaceae.
UGACCCCAGGUCAGGC